GAUGAACGCUGGCGGCGUGCCUAAUACAUGCAAGUCGAGCGAACGGACGAGAAGCUUGCUUCUCUGAUGUUAGCGGCGGACGGGUGAGUAACACGUGGAUAACCUACCUAUAAGACUGGGAUAACUUCGGGAAACCGGAGCUAAUACCGGAUAAUAUUUUGAACCGCAUGGUUCAAAAGUGAAAGACGGUCUUGCUGUCACUUAUAGAUGGAUCCGCGCUGCAUUAGCUAGUUGGUAAGGUAACGGCUUACCAAGGCAACGAUGCAUAGCCGACCUGGGAGGGUGAUCGGCCACACUGGAACUGAGACACGGUCCAGACUCCUACGGGAGGCAGCAGUAGGGAAUCUUCCGCAAUGGGCGAAAGCCUGACGGAGCAACGCCGCGUGAGUGAUGAAGGUCUUCGGAUCGUAAAACUCUGUUAUUAGGGAAGAACAUAUGUGUAAGCAACUGUGCACAUCUUGACGGUACCUAAUCAGAAAGCCACGGCUAACUACGUG
This 497-nucleotide ribosomal RNA is filed under the name uncultured bacterium. Its description in RNAcentral is "partial 16S ribosomal RNA". It matches the Rfam family "Bacterial small subunit ribosomal RNA", at positions 28 to 507 of the family's 1533-position model. The record is from RNAcentral.